AGAAUUGAUCUGGUCAGGAUGAACGCUAGCGGCAGGCUUAACACAUGCAAGUCGAGGGGCAGCGGGAUGUAGCAAUACAUGCCGGCGACCGGCGGAUGGGUGCGUAACGCGUAUGCAACCUACCUAUACAGGGGAAUAACCUUUCGAAAGGGAGACUAACACCCCAUAGUAUUGAUUUAAGGCAUCUUAGAUUAAUUAAAUAUUUAUAGGUAUAAGAUGGGCAUGCGUAUGAUUAGCUAGUUGGUAAGGUAACGGCUUACCAAGGCGACGAUCAUUAGGGGUUCUGAGAGGAAGGUCCCCCACACUGGUACUGAGACACGGACCAGACUCCUACGGGAGGCAGCAGUGAGGAAUAUUGGUCAAUGGGCGCAAGCCUGAACCAGCCAUGCCGCGUGCAGGAAAGACGGCCUUAUGGGUUGUAAACUGCUUUUACAUAAGACUAACCGUAUAUUUGCGAAUAUACCUGAAUGUACUAUGAGAAUAAGGAUCGGCUAACUCCGUGCCAGCAGCCGC
This 513-nucleotide ribosomal RNA is filed under the name uncultured bacterium. Its description in RNAcentral is "bacterial SSU rRNA". It matches the Rfam family "Bacterial small subunit ribosomal RNA", at positions 1 to 518 of the family's 1533-position model. The record is from RNAcentral.